This 1325-nucleotide ribosomal RNA is filed under the name metagenome. RNAcentral's name for it is "bacterial LSU rRNA". It matches the Rfam family "Bacterial large subunit ribosomal RNA", at positions 1561 to 2925 of the family's 2925-position model. The record is from RNAcentral.
AGUGGAUGGGGAGCAACCUAGUUGUGCGUGUGUAAAGGUAGUGCCAAGAAAAGCGAUGAUCAUGUUGAAAAUCAAUUCCCGGUACCCGAAACCGACACAGGUGGGCAAGUAGAGAAUACUAAGGGGCGCGAGGUAACUCUCUCCAAGGAACUCGGCAAAAUGACCCCGUAACUUAGGGAGAAGGGGUGCCACCGAGAGGUGGUCGCAGUGAAGAGGCCCAGGCGACUGUUUAGCAAAAACAUAGGUCUCUGCAAACUCGAAAGAGGAGGUAUAGGGGCUGACGCCUGCCCAGUGCCGGAAGGUUAAAGAAGUUGGUCAGUUUUAGGAUGAAGCUAGCGACUGAAGCCCCGGUGAACGGCGGCCGUAACUAUAACGGUCCUAAGGUAGCGAAAUUCCUUGUCGGGUAAGUUCCGACCCGCACGAAAGGCGUAACGAUCUGGGCGCUGUCUCGGAGAGAGGCUCGGCGAAAUAGGAUUGUCUGUGAAGAUACGGACUACCUGCAUUUGGACAGAAAGACCCUAUGAAGCUUUACUAUAGCUUGGAAUUGUGUUCGGGCUUCCUGUGCGCAGGAUAGGUGGGAGGCGUAGAAGGUAUUCUUGUGGGAUACUGGAGCCAACGGUGAGAUACCACUCUCAGGAGGCUAGAAUUCUAACUUAAUUAAGGACAGUUUCAGGUGGGUAGUUUGACUGGGGCGGUCGCCUCCAAAAAGGUAACGGAGGCGUACAAAGGUUCCCUCAGACUGGUUGGAAAUCAGUCGAAGAGUGCAAAGGCAGAAGGGAGCUUGACUGCGAGAAGUACAGUUCGAGCAGGGUGGAAACACGGUCUUAGUGAUCCGACGGUGCUGUGUGGAAGGGCCGUCGCUCAACGGAUAAAAGUUACUCUAAGGAUAACAGGCUGAUCUCCCCCAGGAGUUCACAUCGACGGGGAGGUUUGGCACCUCGAUGUCGGCUCAUCGCAACCUGGGGCGGAAGUACGUCCCAAGGGUUGGGCUGUUCGCCCAUUAAAGCGGUACGUGAGCUGGGUUCAGAACGUCGUGAGACAGUUCGGUCCAUAUCCGAUGUAGGCGUGAGAAUAUUGAGAGGAGCCUUCCUUAGUACGAGAGGACCGGGAAGGACGCACCGCUGGUGUACCUGUUAUGAUGCCAAUUGUAAACGCAGGGUAGCCAAGUGCGGAGAGGAUAACCGCUGAAAGCAUCUAAGUGGGAAGCCCACCUCAAGAUGAGUAUUCUGGUGUAAGGUCACGGGAAGACGACCCGUAAAUAGGCACGAGGUGGAAGUGCAGAGAUGUAUGAAGCCGAAGUGUACUAAUAGACCGUCGGCUUGACC